This 77-nucleotide ribosomal RNA is filed under the name Clostridioides difficile. The record is from RNAcentral. Lineage: Bacteria; Bacillati; Bacillota; Clostridia; Peptostreptococcales; Peptostreptococcaceae. RNAcentral also lists the same sequence under 2 other names.
UGUGGUUACAAUAGCAGAGAGGAUACACCUGUUCCCAUUCCGAACACAGAAGUUAAGCUCUCUAGCGCUGAUGGUAC